Molecule: ribosomal RNA, 717 nt
Filed under: Setobaudinia rectilabrum
Lineage: Eukaryota; Metazoa; Mollusca; Gastropoda; Stylommatophora; Camaenidae
Description: partial 16S ribosomal RNA
Rfam family: Archaeal large subunit ribosomal RNA (bases 319-483)
Source: RNAcentral
CACGAAACUAUGUGAGUUAAUUUUAAUAAACCAUUAUGUAACAAAAUAAUGACGUGAAUUAAAAUUAGGGGUGAUAGGCUUUUCAAACAUAGUGAUAUCUUGAUUCCCUUGAAAUGUAUAAGUACAUGGACGAAUUUAGAGCUAUAAGGUUCUAAAUAGUUAUAAAAUUUGAAUAGUAUAUUGUAGGAUUUAGAAGUCUAUAUGUCUAUUAAUAUAAUAUUUAUAUCAUGUGAUUGUCGAUUUUACAGGGAUGUAAAUAAUCCAUAUAAAUAUUAAUAAUGUUAUCAUAAGUACUGAGAAGAUAUCAAUAGUGAACUCGGCACUAAGUUUUCAACUGUUUAUCAAAAACAUAGCUAUGUGCAAAUACACAUAGUGUUUUCUGCUCAAUGAAUAUUAAAUAGCCGCAGUACCUUGACUGUGCAAAGGUAGCGUAAUCAUUUGUCUUUUAAUUGAAGUCGUGUAUGAAGGAAUAUAUGGGGACUUUCUUUACCAUUGAUAAUAGAAGAAGUUACUUAAUGAGUGAAAAAACUCAUAAUUAAACAAUAGACGAGAAGACCCUAGAAAUUUAUAAUAUUAUUUUGUUGGGGCAACAUAGUAACAGAUAAUUUACUAUAUGUAUAUGAAAUUUAUUAGAUAAAUUAAAUUACUCUAGGGAUAACAGCAUAAUAUUGAAAUGUUUGUGACCUCGAUGUUGGAUUAGGGAGUUAUAGUUUAGAA